GAUGAACGCUGGCGGCGUGCCUAAUACAUGCAAGUCGAGCGAACGGACGAGAAGCUUGCUGCUCUGAUGUUAGCGGCGGACGUGUGAGUAACACGUGUAUAACCUACCUAUAAGACUGGGAUAACCUCGGGAAACCGGAGCUAACACCGGAUGAUAUUUUGAACCGCAGGGGUCAAUAGUGAAAGACGGUCUUGCUGUCACUUAUAGAUGGAUCCCCGCUGCAUUGGCUGGUUGGUAAGGUAACGGCUUACCAAGGGAACGAUGCAUAGCCGACCUGUGAGGGUGGUCGCCCACCCUGGAGCUGGGCCACGGACCAGACUCCUACGGGAGGCCGCAGUCGGGAAUCUGCCGCAAUGGGCGAAAACCUGACGGAGCAACGCCGCGUGAGUGAUGACGGUCUUCGGAUCGUAAAACUCUGUUAUUAGGGAAAAACAUAUUUGUACGUAACUGUGCAGAUCUUGACGGUAACUAAUCAGAAAGCCACGGCUAACUACGUG
This 497-nucleotide ribosomal RNA is filed under the name uncultured bacterium. RNAcentral describes it as "partial 16S ribosomal RNA". It matches the Rfam family "Bacterial small subunit ribosomal RNA", at positions 28 to 507 of the family's 1533-position model. The record is from RNAcentral.